AGUCACUGAUGACUCCUUUUUAAACAUUUUUCUGACACCUUCUAUGAGAGCUGCACUGCAGUCUUUGAUUAUUAAUUGGAACCUGAGGCUU
Ictalurus punctatus (channel catfish) is the source of this 91-nucleotide small nucleolar RNA. Ensembl annotates it as Small nucleolar RNA SNORD60. NCBI's taxonomy places the organism in Eukaryota, Metazoa, Chordata, Actinopteri, Siluriformes, Ictaluridae. The record is from Ensembl.